GCCUAUCCAAACCCACCCAAAAUCAAGUAGAGGUAAGUUUGCGCGGUUUGCGAUUGUGGUAGAUCUGAUGAAACCGCUAAAGGCUUUUGUUGGAAUCAACAACGUCCCUUUUUGCGUUGAGUAUGAGGGGCUUCCUUUAAUAUGCUAUAAGUGUGGUUGUUAUGGACACCUUCAAGAGCGUUGUACAUUGGAAAGAAAGGAACCGAAGGAAGCUCGAUCUGCGGGUAGUGAAUCCAGACCGUCACCGCCGUCAAUAGAGAGGAUAAUGGCUGGCCAAAACUGCUUUGGUCUGUGAAUGCUAGCUCCUGGCUGGAAACUGACAAAAUAAUUGGCAGCAAACAAUUAUCGGAAGAAACAAAAUGGUGUUAAAUUAGCCUCGAAAAAUAUUCAUUUUGAUAUUCUUGUAGAUUUGGAUGACACGAUAAUUGAGGAAUCGCG
Molecule: long non-coding RNA, 438 nt
Filed under: Gossypium raimondii (Peruvian cotton)
Lineage: Eukaryota; Viridiplantae; Streptophyta; Magnoliopsida; Malvales; Malvaceae
Description: long non-coding RNA (GRAI_LNC006657)
Source: RNAcentral